AUUGAACGCUGGCGGCAGGCCUAACACAUGCAAGUCGAGCGGUAACACAGGGAGCUUGCUCCCGGGUGACGAGCGGCGGACGGGUGAGUAAUGUCUGGGAAACUGCCUGAUGGAGGGGGAUAACUACUGGAAACGGUAGCUAAUACCGCAUAACGUCGCAAGACCAAAGAGGGGGACCUUCGGGCCUCUUGCCAUCAGAUGUGCCCAGAUGGGAUUAGCUAGUAGGUGGGGUAACGGCUCACCUAGGCGACGAUCCCUAGCUGGUCUGAGAGGAUGACCAGCCACACUGGAACUGAGACACGGUCCAGACUCCUGCGGGAGGCAGCAGUGGGGAAUAUUGCACAAUGGGCGCAAGCCUGAUGCAGCCAUGCCGCGUGUAUGAAGAAGGCCUUUGGGUUGUAAAGUACUUUCAGCGGGGAGGAAGGUGCUGAGGUUAAUAACCUCAGCAAUUGACGUUACCCGCAGAAGAAGCACCGGCUAACUCCGUGCCAGCAGCCGCAGUAA
This 504-nucleotide ribosomal RNA is filed under the name uncultured bacterium. RNAcentral's name for it is "partial 16S ribosomal RNA". It matches the Rfam family "Bacterial small subunit ribosomal RNA", at positions 30 to 523 of the family's 1533-position model. The record is from RNAcentral.